This 295-nucleotide long non-coding RNA is filed under the name Numida meleagris (helmeted guineafowl). RNAcentral describes it as "lncRNA (ENSNMEG00000013522.1)". Lineage: Eukaryota; Metazoa; Chordata; Aves; Galliformes; Numididae. The record is from RNAcentral.
GAAAGGAGACUUACACAGGUUCCCUAAGCUUGACUUCCAGAGCAUUCUGGGAACUGGGAGGCUACACAUUUCAGGUUCAAGCUUACUGAAGUACUUAUUUUUUUGGUUUGGGUAGGGUGGCAGCUGAGGGGGAAAAAAAGGAAGGUGUGAGGUCAUACUUCUAGGCUGAAAGAUUUAUAUGUAUUACAGAAGUUGCUUCUAAUGCAAAGGAGAUAGGCAAAGAAACGAACCUUCAAGAACAUGCUACUGGAGCCAAAUCUGGAACCUUUUGGACUUCUCCAACUAACUCCACAGU